GACGUAGGGUGCGAGCGUUGUCCGGAUUUAUUGGGCGUAAAGAGCUCGUAGGCGGCUUGUCGCGUCUGCUGUGAAAACCCGAGGCUCAACCUCGGGCCUGCAGUGGGUACGGGCAGACUAGAGUGCGGUAGGGGAGAUUGGAAUUCCUGGUGUAGCGGUGGAAUGCGCAGAUAUCAGGAGGAACACCAAUGGCGAAGGCAGAUCUCUGGGCCGUAACUGACGCUGAGGAGCGAAAGCAUGGGGAGCGAACAGG
RNAcentral lists this ribosomal RNA (253 nucleotides) under uncultured bacterium. RNAcentral's name for it is "partial 16S ribosomal RNA". It matches the Rfam family "Bacterial small subunit ribosomal RNA", at positions 524 to 776 of the family's 1533-position model. The record is from RNAcentral.